GAUGAACGCUAGCUACAGGCUUAACACAUGCAAGUCGAGGGGAAACGGCAUCGAAAGCUUGCUUUUGAUGGGCGUCGACCGGCGCACGGGUGAGUAACGCGUAUCCAACCUGCCCAUCACUUGGGAAUAACCUUGCGAAAGUAAGACUAAUGCCCAAUGACAUCCCACGAAGGCAUCCGAAUGGGAUUAAAGAUUUAUCGGUGAUGGAUGGGGAUGCGUCUGAUUAGCUUGUUGGCGGGGUGACGGCCCACCAAGGCAACGAUCAGUAGGGGUUCUGAGAGGAAGCCCCCCCACAUUGGAACCAAGGCACGGACCAAACGCCUACGGGAGGCAGCAGUGAGGAAUGUUGAUCAAGGGGCGAGAGCCUGAACCAGCCAAGUAGCGUGCAGGAUGACGGCCCUAUGGGUUGUAAACUGCUUGUAUAAGGGAAUAAAGUGGGUCACGUGUGACUUUUUGCAUGUACCUAAUGAAUAAGGACCGGCUAAUUACGUG
RNAcentral lists this ribosomal RNA (492 nucleotides) under uncultured bacterium. RNAcentral's name for it is "partial 16S ribosomal RNA". It matches the Rfam family "Bacterial small subunit ribosomal RNA", at positions 28 to 507 of the family's 1533-position model. The record is from RNAcentral.